UGGGGAAUAUUGCACAAUGGGCGCAAGCCUGAUGCAGCCAUGCCGCGUGUAUGAAGAAGGCCUUCGGGUUGUAAAGUACUUUCAGCAGUGAGGAAGGUGGUGCAGUUAAUAGCUGUAUCAUUUGACGUUAGCUGCAGAAGAAGCACCGGCUAACUCCGUGCCAGCAGCCGCGGUAAUACGGAGGGUGCGAGCGUUAAUCGGAAUUACUGGGCGUAAAGCGCAUGCAGGUGGUUUGUUAAGUCAGAUGUGAAAGCCCGGGGCUCAACCUCGGAAUUGCAUUUGAAACUGGCAGACUAGAGUACUGUAGAGGAUGGCGGAAUUUCCUGUGUAGCGGUGAAAUGCGUAGAUAU
This 350-nucleotide ribosomal RNA is filed under the name uncultured bacterium. RNAcentral's name for it is "bacterial SSU rRNA". It matches the Rfam family "Bacterial small subunit ribosomal RNA", at positions 355 to 697 of the family's 1533-position model. The record is from RNAcentral.